Molecule: long non-coding RNA, 797 nt
Filed under: Homo sapiens (human)
Lineage: Eukaryota; Metazoa; Chordata; Mammalia; Primates; Hominidae
Description: HSALNT0030858
Source: RNAcentral
CCUAUUUGCUCUGCACAGUGACUAUUAUGAACACAGAAAACUGUUCAUUGUUAAAUAUGGCAUGCUAAGUGGUUUUGCUUUCUGGCAAAUCUCCAAACCAUAAUUAUUAAGGGACUGGAGCUGCUGAGGAAUUCUUGGGUUACAAGAGGCUUUGAUCCUGUUCCUGCCUUCUUUCCCUGACAUGAAUUUCCACGGGUGUGGCUGACUUUCAUUGUUUUUCACUGCUGUGGUGCUGCUGUGAAGGUGAAGGAUUAAACAGAACUUCAAGAUGCCAAAUCUAUACCCCGACUAAAACACCAGCUGUUUCAUGCUUGAAACCCCAGAAAAUACUUCAGAAAGUCCAUUUCAAGAUACACCCCAAGCUGACAGCCCUGGUUGUACUCCAGUAACUUCAGUACUUCAGCUGGAGGUGAGGAAGCAGGAGAGGGGGAAAGGAACAAGGGAAGAGGAGGCAGAGAGGGAGAAGACAAGUUGCCGUCAAGGCCAAUUCUUUGUUUUUGAUUCCCACCUGCUGUUCUCUGCCUCUGCUCCUGUAGAUCAGCCUCACAAGAAAUUCACUUCUGACAAACCCAAUUACUGAAAUACAGCAACGAUUUCCUGGCCAUUUUGACAUUCAGGGAGGGAUUUCUUACUUUUAGCUCAUCAUGAUGCAUCAGUGAACAGGUCAGAGCACAUCUCUUGAAUCCCAUUCUCCUCCUAACGCUCAUACAGACAUUCACAUCCAAACUGGGGCUGUGUACUCUUUACAAACAGACACUCUGAAAGGUGCACAGAUUCCCAACAUGCCAUUCUAUCUC